Cryptotermes secundus is the source of this 502-nucleotide long non-coding RNA. RefSeq lists it as uncharacterized. The record is from RefSeq and is a predicted model, not a curated record. The transcript is spliced from 3 exons. NCBI's taxonomy places the organism in Eukaryota, Metazoa, Arthropoda, Insecta, Blattodea, Kalotermitidae.
UCAUAUAUACAAAUAAUUCUCAUUGCUGCAGAUUUUAAACUUCCACGGUGGUCGAUUAUCUGUGUUAAUUCUGUUCGUCGGUUGUUGCAGGGUAAUGUUGUGGGAGAUUGUGGUCAUUGUGGUGACGGUGGUGACCGGCAAGAAGUACGGAUGGAAGUCUUUGAAGCGCAUAAAGGUAUCAACUAUGUGAUGGAUGAUUAUGUAUGGUGAACAGGAAACUGUUCUAGGCAAUGUACCAGCAGGACAAUUAUGAAAAAUCUCAGAACAGCCAGUAUCCUGAACACAAUUGAAAGUCAUCAAAAUCCAGGCCCUGCUUAUUACCUACUCUGCUGGCAGAUGCGAGAACCCCAGAGUCAGCACAAGGGAGAAUCCUGCGGCCUGAUGUCAUUGGGAUGGUUAUGCCAUAAUAAACAGUUAUGAUUAGAAGGAAGAUCUAUUGAUUAAAACCUUUCUGGAAUGCAUGGAACAUCACAUUUGUCAACAGCAUAACUGACAUGUGAAU